CACGUAAGAACAAAUUAAAAGUAUUUUAAAAGAGACCAGGUUGUUUGAAAAUCCUAAACGAAUGCUAAAAAUCAUAGAAUCAAAACAUUCUGGUGUCUGAGCCAGAGUGUCAUCGAAUUACGAUGUAAUGUAAACAGAAAUUAUAGCAAGCUGAUGUCAGUCAGCUUAGAUGGUCCAAGCCAAAAUUAUAUCGCAUUUGAAGUUUCAAACUGUGUUAAAAAUAGUGGAAGAAAAAGCCGUAAUUAUACUUAUUGUUACAAUCCAUUUAUUAAAAUGCAACAUUUUUUUGUUUUAAUGAAAAGUUAUUUUCAUGAGAACGAUUUGUUAUUCCAUCUCAAUUUUUUUAAUCUCCAAUCGCAAUAACGUAAAGUAUUAUUACCCGCGAACCAAUGAGUCAAAUUUAAGAAACAAGCCACUGUUAGAAAGCUGA
This is a non-coding RNA of Paramuricea clavata, 430 nucleotides long. The record is from the annotation of a GenBank genome assembly. NCBI's taxonomy places the organism in Eukaryota, Metazoa, Cnidaria, Anthozoa, Malacalcyonacea, Plexauridae.